This 286-nucleotide unclassified non-coding RNA is filed under the name air metagenome. RNAcentral describes it as "partial contains small subunit ribosomal RNA, internal transcribed spacer 1, and 5.8S ribosomal RNA". The stretch from base 1 to 46 matches the Rfam family "Eukaryotic small subunit ribosomal RNA", at positions 1786 to 1831 of the family's 1831-position model. The record is from RNAcentral.
AAGUCGUAACAAGGUUUCUGUAGGUGAACCUGCAGAAGGAUCAUUAGUGAAGAUUUGGGCAGGCCAUACGGACGCCAAAAAAGUGUCCCUGGCCGCCUACACCCACUAUACAUCCACAAACCCGUGUGCACUGUCUUGGAGAAAGGCUUCUUGAGAAGUUUUGUGGCCUCUCUUGGGGUCUUUCUUCGCUACAAACUCGAAUGGUUAGUAUGAACGUGGAACUUGGUUGGACCGUCACUGGCCAACAAACUAUACACAACUUUCGACAACGGAUCUCUUGGUUCUC